Small nuclear RNA from Dermacentor andersoni, 184 nucleotides. RefSeq annotates it as U2 spliceosomal RNA. Lineage: Eukaryota; Metazoa; Arthropoda; Arachnida; Ixodida; Ixodidae. The record is from RefSeq and is a predicted model, not a curated record.
CUACACUAUAAGUGCACUUUCUAAUAUAUAUAGUACUGCUCUUGCAACGCCGAAUUUCUGUGGUUCUAUUCGGACUCAAUAUAUUAAACUUAUUUUUGAAAAUUGGCGGAGUGCUUGAAGCCUGCUUCACCUCCACCGCAGGUCGGCUCGGCAUUGCACUAUCUUCGGCAUCGGCCCACGCAUU